Long non-coding RNA from Acanthochromis polyacanthus (spiny chromis), 868 nucleotides. RefSeq lists it as uncharacterized. Lineage: Eukaryota; Metazoa; Chordata; Actinopteri; Pomacentridae. The record is from RefSeq and is a predicted model, not a curated record. The transcript is spliced from 2 exons.
AGGUAAGAAUAAGACCGUGACAUGGUGCUGAUGGUGACAUCUCAUACCAGAAGAAGCCAUUCUUGGGUCCCUGUGGCUGAGAUAAAUAACAAUAAUAAAACAUUUUAUUUUAUUUUACAAUGUUUUAUUUAUGAGUUGCUUUUAGCUCAGGUGGUCUGCCCACCUGGGGUCUGUUUCACGAAGCAGGUUUUACAAACGCUGAGUUUCUUCCACAACUCUGAGUUGAUCUACUCUGAGAUAGAAACUCUGAGUUUUCGGUUUCACAACGGCUGAUAUGAGUUGGUUUAAUUAACUCGGAGUAGUUUGACCCGGAGUUACGCGCGUGCACCGCAAGUCUGAAAAGACAGCAUCAAUGGAACCCCGAUUCGACGAGUCACCAUGGAAACGGGGAAGCGAAAGGCUGCGUUUUUGAACUGGAAGUUUUUAACGCGCUCAUAUGGCGAGUUUGAACACGUUUUUAGAAAGAAGUGCAACACCGCUGCAGCUGUAAAAGAGAGAGAGACGGCGUGGAGAACAGCCCGGAUCAAUGCAGCAUGGCUGGACAGCAGCAGGAUGGUUCCUCAGCUUCCACUGCACAGACUGACACAGUGAGAUGGAUGUUCAGGAAACACCAGAGCUUCAUUCUGUGGAAUUCAUGUGCAACUGUAUCAUUGAAUGUCCUCUAUGUAUUCCCAGUUAUCAGUAAAACAGAUUUACAAACUGCAUUUGCUGAGAAAAAUCCAAAAAACAGAUUAGGAGGACAGAUCUGGAAAUUGAAAUACUGGAGCACAAGUUAGAGGUGGUGAUGGUCACAGGAGAAUUAUGUUAACUACUGGAACAUGAACUGAACUAUCUUUUAUUUGUAGGAAAUAAAGAAGAGCAAAUGAAA